AAUCGAAACCAUCUUAUCGCUCGGUUGAAAAGAGUAAAAUCUAAUCAACAGGGAGGAAAGUCCGGACAGCAUAGAGUACCGUACUUCCUAACGGGAAGGCAGCAAGUGGGCGACUACUGGCUGACAGACAGGGCCACAGAAAAUAAACCGCCCUUCAACAAAACACCAACCAGUGUGGCGUUGAAAGGUAAGGGUGAAACGGUAGAGUAAGAGCCUACCGCUCAGCUGGCGACAGUUGAGGCACGGUAAACCUUACGGGCUGAAAGACCAAAUAGGCGUUGCGCGUGGAGCGGCUCGUUCCCAGUAUUUGGAGCAAUCCAAAAAAAAGCAACGUGGGUAGGUUGAUAGAGGCAGCGGGCAACCGCCGUCCCAGAGAAAUGAUAAGAACCUUGACGCAAGUUGAGGUACAGAAUCCGGCUUAUCGGUUUCGAUUUGCU
RNAcentral lists this RNase P RNA (437 nucleotides) under Runella slithyformis. Its description in RNAcentral is "RNase P RNA component class A". It matches the Rfam family "Bacterial RNase P class A". Rfam says of the family: Ribonuclease P (RNase P) is a ubiquitous endoribonuclease, found in archaea, bacteria and eukarya as well as chloroplasts and mitochondria. Its best characterised activity is the generation of mature 5'-ends of tRNAs by cleaving the 5'-leader elements of precursor-tRNAs. Lineage: Bacteria; Pseudomonadati; Bacteroidota; Cytophagia; Cytophagales; Spirosomataceae. RNAcentral also lists the same sequence under 2 other names. The record is from RNAcentral.